Molecule: long non-coding RNA, 1617 nt
Organism: Meriones unguiculatus (Mongolian gerbil)
Lineage: Eukaryota; Metazoa; Chordata; Mammalia; Rodentia; Muridae
Exons: 3
Source: RefSeq, a predicted model, not a curated record
CGCGCUCACCGAUGAAGAGGAUGGGGAAGGUGAUGAAGAGCAGAAAGACGUGCGGCACCACGUUGAGCGCGUCCACGAAGCAGCCGUUGUUGAGGACUCCUUGGUCCACCCGGCAAACCAAGGAGACCAACACCAGAAGGCCUGCUAACGCUCCCAUGCCCGCCCAUUCCUUCAGAUGAUUCAUGGCUGCAGCAAUCCAUGCUGGUUUCCGCCUUCCACCUUCCCGAUGGCGCGUGACUUUGACCAUCUGAGAACUGGCUGGGUGGACUUUGAGGAAAAGAGAUGCACAGAGGCCCGCACACAGUGAGGCUCGGCUCUUUGGAUCGACAUUGCUACACUGUCUUCGUGCUUCGACACUUGACUUUGCAGAGUAAAAAUUUCCAGAGAGCUUCUCGGGGUAAUCCAACUGAGUCUUGCGAUUUUCUCUGACUCGUCAUGCUGACUUGUGUUGCUGCAGGGGUUGGGGGAGAUGGAGGGGAGGUAAAGGUAUUUAAGAACCCUAAAUAAAGUAGGUUUGGUGAAAAAUCUCAGCGCCCAGGUGGCACCCAGCCGUGGCUUAGGCACAGUGGGUAACUUUGCUUCUAAUGCAGUGGAGGGAUUGGCAGGUUUUGAUGGGUUGGCAAUGGUGUUUAAGGAGGUUGGCAAAAUACCAGCUAUUGCUGUUGGCUGGUCUCCUGUAUUACUUCUCGGGGGUUCUGGUUUUGCUUUGAGGUCUUCAUAUGUAUCUUUUUGAAAAAGACUGGAGGGAAAGCCGAAAACUCAGAAGGGUCGCUCAGUUCUCUGGUGUUGGAAAGGAUUGCAGAUUUGGCUAUGCACCUAGAGUUUGCAAAUAGCGGUUGAGGUGCUUGGAAAGCAAAAGGCGCCGGUGGGAGCACAGGCUUGGUGUCCGACACAUGGACUUUCCUGCAGGAUGAAAGAGGGAAGCAAACAGGCUGGAAGGCAGGCUGCCGCCCUGCCCUGCUCCAUGCAUUUUCAUUACCCGGAGCACUUCCGUGAGGCCCGGGGCUGGGAAGAGCAGGAGGCAGUAGAUAAUCGGGUUGCUGUGGAUCCAUGUGCACCGCCAGAGGAGUGGCCUAGGGCUACACAGGCACCGUGAGCCUUCCCCGUCUCUGUGCAGCCUGUGCCUGCUCUGAUGGUGGUGGAGCUUAUGAUGAGAUGGCUUGGCAUCCAAUAUACAUGCUAGAUUUAACACGUUUUAAAGAGUCUAUUUUAAGGUAUGGGAUGCAUUAACCAUUUGUUAAGCAAGUGUUAAAUAAUUGGGCUAUGCAAAACAGACUUAUUUGAAUCCCAAGAUUGGAAGAGUUUGGUGUGAGCUGUUCCAGAAGCUGGUCAACAAUUACAAGGGUUAUCAUGGUAGAGGGAUGAAGCCAUGAAAAUGGAACAGCUCAGGACUUAAAAUCCCACCAAUCCACACUCUGGAAGUGCCUGCCCCAGAAAACUUUGCCCCUAAGAAUUCCUAUAUAAAGCCUGUGUUUGCCCCAGUCCCCCGCUGCUUCUCGAAGAGCAGAGGCAGCCACUCCUGGAUUCAUCCCUCCUUUCCUGAAUUUGUCCCUUCAAUAAAUCUCUUAAAAGAUUUACUGCCUGCUGUGACUCCCUUAUGGAAGGAAGAAGAAAUGA